GUUAAAAAGCUCGUAGUUGGAUUUCGGGAUGGGCCAGUCGGUCCGCCUAACGGUGUGUUUACUGGCUGGUCUGUUCUUCUUCGCAAAGACUGCGUGUGCACUUUACUGUGUGUGCGUAGGAUUUACGACGUUUACUUUGAAAAAAUUAGAGUGUUCACGGCAAGCUACCGCUUUGAAUACAUUACCAUGGAAUAAUAAUAUAGGGCGUAAGUUCUAUUUUGUUGAUUUCUAGGACAUACGCAAUGAUUAAUAGGGACAAUUGGGGGCAUUCGUAUUAACGCGUCAGAGGUGGAAUUCUUAGAUUGCGUUACGACGAACUACUGCGAAAGCAUUUGCCAAAGAUGUUUUCAUUGAUCAAGAACGAAAGUAUGGGGAUCGA
RNAcentral lists this ribosomal RNA (379 nucleotides) under uncultured eukaryote. RNAcentral describes it as "bacterial SSU rRNA". It matches the Rfam family "Eukaryotic small subunit ribosomal RNA", at positions 618 to 1001 of the family's 1831-position model. The record is from RNAcentral.